CUACGGGGCGCACCAGUGAGGAAUAUUGCACAAUGGGGGGAACCCUGAUGCAGCAACGCCGCGUGGAGGAUGACGCAUUUCGGUGUGUAAGCUCCUUUUAUAUGUCAAGAAAAUGACGGUAGCAUAUGAAUAAGCACCGGCUAACUCCGUGCCAGCAGCCGCGGUAAUACGGAGGGUGCAAGCGUUACUCGGAAUCACUGGGCGUAAAGGACGCGUAGGCGGGUUGGAAAGUCAGGUAUGAAAUCCUACAGCUUAACUGUAGAACUGCACUUGAAACUUCUAAUCUAGAGUAUGGGAGGGGGAGAUGGAAUUAGUGGUGUAGGGGUAAAAUCCGUAGAUAUCACUAGGAAUACCUAAAGCGAAGGCGAUCUCCUGGAACAUUACUGACGCUAAGGCGUGAAAGCGUGGGGAGCAAACAGGAUUAGAUACCCCCGUAGUC
RNAcentral lists this ribosomal RNA (439 nucleotides) under uncultured bacterium. RNAcentral's name for it is "partial 16S ribosomal RNA". It matches the Rfam family "Bacterial small subunit ribosomal RNA", at positions 339 to 795 of the family's 1533-position model. The record is from RNAcentral.